Molecule: RNA transcript, 1130 nt
Organism: Daktulosphaira vitifoliae (grape phylloxera)
Lineage: Eukaryota; Metazoa; Arthropoda; Insecta; Hemiptera; Phylloxeridae
Exons: 7
Source: RefSeq, a predicted model, not a curated record
AUUCUAAAAGUAUUCCGAUCAGUUACCUUGUUAGUGACGAAAUACUUUACUGUGCAACUAUAUGGAGUAGCUCUUAAAUAUUUGCGGUUUUUUUAUGUGGAGACAAAAUAAUCCUAUAUCUAAAAUAUGGUAAAAAUUAUAAAUUGCAUUCCUGUAUCCAAAGAAGUAGAUAGAUUAUACUCCGAGUAUGGAAUGAAUAAAGAUCAAGUUAAAGCAGAUGUUGCUAAUAUAAGAAAAUGGAUGUUAACCCAACCUCAUCUUCCUAUUUUUCCAGAAGAAAAAAGUGAAGAGCUAAAUUAUCAAAUUGAAGGCUAUCUUCGACUUACAAAAAAUAAUAUCGAAAAAUCAAAAAUUGCGUUAGAUUCUUAUUUUUGCUUGAAAACAUUAUAUCCUAAAAUUUUUGAAAUAAGUAAUCUGUACGAUUAUGUUGAUAGUGAUAUAUUUGAAUGUGUGUCAAUGUUAAUGUUACCAAAACAUACACCUGAUGGUUUGAGAGUAAUGUAUUAUGGAUUUAAUAACUGUAAUAGCCAUUUGUUUCAACCAGUUGAAAUAUAUCGAAGAAUUCGUAUAAUGAUUGAUGUAUUGUUAAUAAAAGGAAUAGAUUUUACUGGAUUACAUGUAAUUUGGGAUGCACGAUAUACUUAUAUAUCACAAAUAAGACGGCUUGACUUAUACCAACUUAAAAGUCUCAUAAAACUGUCCCAGAAAGCAUAUCCUUUGCGUAUGAAAAAAAACUAUGUGUUGUUCCCUCCAGUUUUCUUGGAUGUGACAAUGAAAUUUAUAAAACCAUUCUUAUCAAAAACAAUUACGGAAGGAUGGUAAUUACUAAAAAUAUUGAAACUCUGUGGAGCCAUAUACCUAAAGAUAUUUUGCCAAUCGAAUUAGGCGGAAAUGAAUAUACUCUGAAUGAUAUAAGAGGUGAAUGGAAAGAUUAUAUAUUACAAAAUAGAGAAUGGUUCAUCUCCAAUGCAAACUAUAAAUCAGACGAAGCUAAAAGAAUGAGAAAAGAAAAAAAAAUUGAGUUAUAAAAUUUCAAUAAAUUCAAAUUGGACUAUAUAAAAUUAUUUAUUACCAUAAAAUUAUUUUUAUGGUAAAAUAAAAAUAAAUAUUUUUUUUGUACAUAAGUUAUA